Molecule: long non-coding RNA, 332 nt
Filed under: Brassica napus (rape)
Lineage: Eukaryota; Viridiplantae; Streptophyta; Magnoliopsida; Brassicales; Brassicaceae
Description: long non-coding RNA (BNAP_LNC009434)
Source: RNAcentral
CUUCAGUAUCUUGGGUUUGGGGAGUGAGAAAGAUGAGAGAGAUGAGAAAAAGAGUAUAAAUAGAAAUGAAAACUUUAGGGAUAAAAAGAAAAUAUGAAGCUCUUGAUUAAGCAACAAAGAACCUUCCCCCUAAUAAUAAAAAAAAAAAACAAAGAAAAAGAAAAAAUCAUGGAGAAGUUAGGGAAGGGAAUGAAAAAGAGUAGAGUUUGUAAAGAGUGAAUUAAAAUCCCUAGUAGUUGAGUCAAAAUAAAAAGAGAGUUGUUCAUUGGGUGAAUGAUGUGAGGGGUUUACUUUGAUUUUGAGAUGAUGAUAAAAAGGGGGUAGAACUUGUG